GCGGUCAUCAUAUAAUGGCUAUUAUCUCAGCCUUCCAAGCUGAUGAUGCGGGUUCGAUUCCCGCUGAUCGCUCCA
RNAcentral lists this transfer RNA (75 nucleotides) under Enterobacter hormaechei. RNAcentral describes it as "tRNA-Gly". It matches the Rfam family "tRNA". Rfam says of the family: Transfer RNA (tRNA) molecules are approximately 80 nucleotides in length. Their secondary structure includes four short double-helical elements and three loops (D, anti-codon, and T loops). The record is from RNAcentral. RNAcentral also lists the same sequence under 2 other names. Lineage: Bacteria; Pseudomonadati; Pseudomonadota; Gammaproteobacteria; Enterobacterales; Enterobacteriaceae.